CCCCAGUUGACCAUUUCACCCCACCCCACCUGUCAAGUAAGAACAGGUGUUAAUGACAACUACUAGCCCCAGUUGACCAUUUCACCCCACCCCACCUGUCAAGUAGGAACAGGUGUUAAUGACAACUACUAGCCCCAGUUGACCAUUUCACCCCACCCCACCUGUCAAGUAGGAACAGGUGUUAAUGACAAUUACUGGGUUUUCAAUAAAUAAAAUGGGGGGGCGGGGCAUUUUUGGGUUGGUCAAGUGUCUUUUUCAUUGAACUAUGUGCUUUCAAUGCAGUGAAAAAUAAAACACUUCAAAGUAUAAUAAAAAGAAGACUAAAUCACACAGAAAUAUGAAAGUAAAUUGAAUGUCACCAUAUCAAAGCUAUUUCCAACAGCAGCAACUAAAAUUCCUCAACUCAAAAACGAUACAAAUGGUUCCCUUCGCUGUAGUAGCACAUAAUACAUUGUUGUUGUCCAAUCAUACCGUACGAUCCUGACGAAUCAAAUCCCUGCUCGCAGCCAUAAUCCAACUGAUUGGAGUUCCAUAAAAUAAAGUUGACUUGUAUGUAUUAAACACUACAGUGUAACAA
Long non-coding RNA from Oncorhynchus keta (chum salmon), 577 nucleotides. RefSeq lists it as uncharacterized. Lineage: Eukaryota; Metazoa; Chordata; Actinopteri; Salmoniformes; Salmonidae. The transcript has 2 exons. The record is from RefSeq and is a predicted model, not a curated record.